GGAAAAAAUAAGAACCAAGAGAGAUUAUGUAAAGGUGCACAUUUCCCAUGAUGAAUAUCAUUAUAUUGUACACCUAAAAUGUACCAAUAAAAUUAACUUUAAAAAAAAAAACUGGGAUUGUAGCUCUACUUUACUUAGCGCUGUUCUUUGCCAAUUGGUAAACUGGCUCUUUCCUAAAUGUGCAAUCGUGAAUCUUUAUAGCACCCCUAGGAGUUAAGAGCAUGGACUGCAAUGUGAAGUACAGCUAGAGCUCACUGGCUUCAUGGGGGGGGUGGUGGCAGGAGUGUGAGGCACAGUGGGACCAAGGGUGAAACAUUUAAGGAGGCUCCCACUCUCAGGGCUGUGAAAGUGCAGGGUCAGCCUCUGAGAGUGAAGCCUCCUUAAAUUUUGCACCUUGGGUACUUCAUUGGCUUUUCCUUCUCUGUGUCUUAAGAUGGUUAGCUUUCCAUCAGUCCUUAGCUGUGAAACUGUCUAACAGGACCCAGCCCUCAGGCUCAUUAUGAGGAUGACAUAAGAUUCAUGAAGGAACUCAUCACUGCAUGUACUUCUCAAAUGUGCGCUGAUUUACUUAACAGGUCAUUUUAUGGAUGAGGAAACGGAGGCUUGGAAUGAUGACAUGGCUAGUGGGAAGAACCAAAUUUGGAACCAGGCCAGGGUGAGGGGUAUAGAGGGAGGUUUGGAUUCAGAUGAGGCAUGUAGAUUGAGAUCCGAAGACAUGGUGAAAAGACAGGACUGGGACCAAGGGAGGUGACAGCACUGGGGUAUUGCUUUUAGAUUCUGGGCCUAUUCGGAAGGUAUCACUAUCUUUUUUUGAGAAUUUGAUGGAAGCCAGCAACUGUCUCCCCUACAACUCUACCCACCAUACUCAUACAACCUGUUGCAUACAAGGUUGGGGGACUACGGGCCUCUCUGAAAGAAGCUCUUGAUUUUAGCAUUUUUAUAUUGUACAGAUGCAGUUCAACCUAAGUCCCAACCAUUGUUGCUUAUGCUCAAAUUUGCUCAAAAUUUAUGCCUUCCCUUGACACUGCCUCUUUAUCUGCAGCUCUGGGAUCCCUUGAUGAAAAAGCAGAGUCACUGGAGUUCUCUGGGGCUUCCAGUUCCCCUGCUUCCUGCUCAGGACACUACUGGGCGGGCCUGAGCGGCCCAAACUGAAUCCCCCAUCAGGAACUGCACCCUAGCAGCGUUUCCUUCUGUGGGCACUGCACACACAUGGGCCAGCUCAGGUUACAGAAAGAGAAGUGAGCAGGGCAGAACCAGCAUGUACCAGAAAUCCAAUAAAAGUGUGCAGAAUCUGAGCACACUUGCCAUCAACAGGAUAAUAGAAUGCAAUAGUCAUUGGUAUAGCUCCAGUAUCUUCUCCAUGAGAUUGUAAGAUCUUUGAGUACAGAAGAUAGCAACCUUACUAAUUUUAUCUCAGAAUUAAAGAUAUGAAAAGGGAUUGAAGAAGAGGAGAGAAAAAGAAAAGUGCUUUGGAUCUUAUACUUCCUAGUAGCUCAGCUGGAAUUUCUUUUUCUACAGGCUAGCUUGACUGAGAGAGUAUGAAGUUGGAGCUGUCAAUUAUCAGAAGCAAUCUGGUGGAAGGAAAUAGACUACAACAUUAAGAAAACAAGCCUUGACAGUGUAUCAUUUGAGUGCCCAAAUCCAGCUGGACCUAGAGAUGAGAGGCCAAGGAUCAGAGAAGGAAAGCGGAUUGCUCAGUACCACACAGGAGGUUCGGGCCUGAGCCUAGGGCUCAGAUAUCCCAAGCUGAGAAAGCAGUGUGCUCACAUCUCAGAGCAUGGGUUGUUCAUCCCAGCAGGACCUGCAGUAGGCCCAGCAGUGGAAAAGACCAUAGGAUGCCAGUCACCUGGGGUCCUCCCUGACUUUAUCACACCUGCAGACUUUGAAGAGCAAGGGGAAGAUCUAGAGCCAGCUCUUCGUGCUGUGAGAUGGUGCAGAUUAUUUGGUAAGGGUCAUCUGGCCCCGAGUGAGGACUACAGAAGAAAGUGUCCAUCCAAGCCCAGGAACUAGAGACAGCCUUACAGCUGUGAAAGGCCCUAUCCUCCUUUGGCUGUUUCAGGUUCUACAGAAGCCUGAUAGCUACCAAAGAUGCUGUCCUGUGCUUUCAUCUCCUGCUACUCAAAGUGUGACUCCUGGCCCAGUGGCAUCACUUAACACAUUCAGACUCUCAGGCAUCAUCCUAGCUACUAAAUCACAAUCUGCCCUAAGGAGCCCCUGAGGGUGAUUCCUCUACACGUUAGUGUUUGAAUUGUACUGUUAUACUGCACCAUUUAGCAUGAGAUAAGGAUAGAUCAUUCUAAGGCAGCACAAAUUGGCCUAGUCCAUGUAUUUGGAUGAGCUGUAAAAUAUUUGGUGUCAAAUACAGUUUUGCAAAUCAGGUCUCUUUGGAAAUUCACCAAAUAAAUUAGCUAGUUAAAACAAAAAUGUUAACAGCAAUAACAGCAAAAAAAAAAAGUGUGGCUGUCUUGCUAUAAUGUGAAACAUCACAACUUUCCUUAGGAAGCUUAUAUUUUUUCAAAUUAAAUUUACCUAAAUUGAAGCACAAAUAUUAUUUAACAUCCUGCAUUUAUUAUAGUUUGCAUGUGCUGAGCUGUUGGUAGUUAACGGAGCUGCGCUGAAAAUUUUACAUGCUUGAUGUUAUGGAAUCUUCACCCAGCCUUAGGAGAUUGCUAUUAUUCUCAUUUAGCAAAUAAGCAAAUGAAGGAACUCACAUGUGACAUCACACUGAUUUGUGCAUUUCAUCUUGCCAUUUUUUUGUUGUUUUAUAAUCCUGCCCCUACCACCUACUCUUCAGCCCCCACCCUCAUCAUCAGUACAAGGCCCUAAUGUUCAAUUCUUUGGGCCUAACACUGGAUGGCUUUUGGUGGCUUUUAAAGGCUGAUUGUUCAGUGCCGAACAUGGCCCUGGUGUCUGCUGGAAUAAGAGGCUACCACAUUCCCUACCUCGAGGUGUGCUCAAAACCAAGCUUGUCCUGGAUCUUGGUGACAUAUUCAGCCAGAUAACAUUGGAUUGUGCUUGCGAGGCAGGCGGCAGAACCACUGAGCUACAUCCCUGGC
This 3056-nucleotide long non-coding RNA is filed under the name Heterocephalus glaber (naked mole-rat). RNAcentral's name for it is "lncRNA (ENSHGLG00100039289.1)". Lineage: Eukaryota; Metazoa; Chordata; Mammalia; Rodentia; Bathyergidae. The record is from RNAcentral.